UACAGAGGUGGCAAGCGUUGUUCGGAAUUACUGGGCUUAAAGGGCGCGUAGGCGGGCGGCCAAGUCAGGGGUGAAAGCCUCCAGCUCAACUGGAGAAGUGCCUUUGAUACUGGCCAUCUUGAGGGAGGUAGGGGCGUGCGGAACUUCCGGUGGAGCGGUGAAAUGCGUAGAUAUCGGGAGGAACACCAGUGGCGAAGGCGGCUGCCUGGGCCAGUUCUGACGCUGAGGCGCGAAAGCGUGGGGAGCAAACGGG
This 253-nucleotide ribosomal RNA is filed under the name uncultured bacterium. RNAcentral describes it as "partial 16S ribosomal RNA". It matches the Rfam family "Bacterial small subunit ribosomal RNA", at positions 524 to 776 of the family's 1533-position model. The record is from RNAcentral.